GGGGGUCUUCUCUCUUGGCUUUGGAGCUCCCCAUUCCUCUGUGUCUGUAACAGGGGAGCUUCUUCCUUCUUUCUUCUCCCUUCUUUCUUGCCUGUUAAACUCUCUGCUUCUUAAAACCACUCCAUGUAUGUCCAGGUCAUUUUAUCUAAUUUGGAGACGGAGAACCCUGGUGUUCCUCUGCUCAUCAGAGCCGUCUCACCUGCAAGGGCCAGGAUCCAGCACUAGGGCUGCCCUUUAUGUUCAUGCAGCCUCCACUAGGAAGAUCCUCCUUAGCUGCCACCUGCUGUAAAGGGAUCUAUCUAUCUAUCUGUCUAUCUAUCUAUCUAUCUAUCUUUCUAUCUACCUGUCGAGAGAGAGAGAGGUUUAUUAUAAGGAAUUGACUCAUGUGAUUAUGGAGGCUGAGAAGUUCCACAGUCUGCUGUCUGCAAGCUGGAGACCCAGGAAGGCUGCUGGUGCCGUUCCAGUUUGAUUCUGAAGGCCUGAGAACCAGAACUGAUGCCCACUCAACAUGAAGAUGACAAGGAUGAAGACCUUUAUGAUGAUCCAUUCCCACUUACUGAAUAUGUUACUUCGUAUUAGAGAGAAUGUUUUUAUUCUCAGGCGAUAGAUGCAAAAAUAUUUAAAGUGCAGCUCACUUUCAAACGGUUCAGCCAAAUGUCGAUGAUUUUUGAAUCUAAGUGAUGUUUUACAGACAUAACGUUAAGCAGAAGAAAGCAGAUCUCAAGGAGCCCACAUUGUACAAUUCCGAUCUAUAUGAAGCUCAAUAACACAUGGUACUAGAAGUUGUAAUAGCAGUUACCUGUAGGACUGGAGGUUUGUAUUGAAAGAGAAGGAACAUCAGGAAGUCUGCUGGAGCCUGGAAAUGUCUGAGAUGUUGCUCUGGGAGGCAGUUGCAUGGCUGUAGACAUAUGUAAGACAUUAUUGGAUGGUAUACCUGAGAUUGGAGCACCUACAAUAGAAGGUACAGUGUUACAUCUCAGUGAAAAAGAGAAAAUAUUAAAGAAGAAAAAGACUGUGGAUCAUUUUGGACUUGAACCUUAUGCAGUAGUGGGUACUACAGAGUCAUGUCUCAACUACAAUUCAAACUGCAAUACCUUUUAAGCUUUGUGUUGAAAAGAAUGAAUAUUUGGGAAUGUAAUUCUGUGUUUGUGAUAAAGUCCUCCAUAAUAACUGAUUCAAAGCAAAGGAGACUACAGUUUCCCCUGGUGCCCUGCCCCUGUCUCUGAUUGGUGCAUGUUUGUUGGGACAUCUACCAGAGGGGAUUAAUGCCCCAGGCUAAUGCCACUCCCUGUGCCCAACUCAUAUCAGGUGGCUGGGGGGCAGGCAAUCCAGAGCCUUCUUGCUUCCCCAGUGAGGGAUGGACAGCCCAGGAAGUGCCCUCCAAAGGGCCGGCCUGUCCCAUGGAUUGUCCAGGAGGAGGACAACACAAAGGCGAGGUUGUUUCUCGGUGAGCCCAUGCCUGGCCUUGCAGAGCAAAUACUGGGGAUCAUGCAUCACGCCUCCAACAGGCAAGUGGCCCCACGCCCAUAAGCCACAGGAUGCCAGGGAUGUGGGAUUGGAGCUGCCCUGUGGGUUUUCUCAACGAAGUAAAUACCUCCGAAGAAAUUUGGGUCCUCUACCGCUCUCAGUCAGUUGCUUCCUGACUGGUCCACAUGUGCUGGGAUUCUGGGUUCAACUGGAUCAUACCAUCGUGGAGGGCUGGAGCCACAUCAGAAAUGUCCCUGUAGCUCCUGCCUCCACAACUACAGGCCUGUAACGCUGCUCGCCCUAAGUGGUCAGUUAACACAGUGCAUGGAUGGUCUGGUCCACGAAUGCCUUUUCCGGGCGUGUUUGACUUACAGCCAUCUCUGUUCUCACUACGAAGACAGGAGAGGAGCUUCAUAGAGGUGAAGUCAGUGGAAGAUGCUCCAACCCUCCUUUGAACACACCUGCAACAAGGAAACCUAUCUGAUUUCCCCAGCUUUCCUCCCUCCUGUCUUGUGGCAGAGCAGUGCCUCCCUGCAGCUGACUUAGAGCAAACCAAACACAAUUGGACCUGUUUUCACCGAGCAACUUGCAGUGUUUUGCCCAGAUUCCAGCAGUGAACUCAAUAUCAUUGGAUGGGUUCAUAAUGCAUGCAUUUGUUCAUACCAGGGAAUUCCCUGGAAGGUUACUUGUAAAAUAAAUAUCUUGUAAAACGGGGGAA
This is a long non-coding RNA of Homo sapiens (human), 2185 nucleotides long. Ensembl annotates it as ETS2 antisense RNA 1. Its record names the gene ETS2-AS1. The record is from Ensembl. NCBI's taxonomy places the organism in Eukaryota, Metazoa, Chordata, Mammalia, Primates, Hominidae.